Molecule: ribosomal RNA, 253 nt
Filed under: uncultured bacterium
Lineage: Bacteria
Description: partial 16S ribosomal RNA
Rfam family: Bacterial small subunit ribosomal RNA
Source: RNAcentral
UACGUAGGGGGCUAGCGUUGUCCGGAUUUAUUGGGCGUAAGAGCGCGCAGGCGGUCGUUCAAGUCGCGUGUGAAAGCCCCCCGGCUCAACUGGGGAGGGUCACGCGAUACUGAUCGACUCGAAGGCAGGAGAGGGAAGUGGAAUUCCCGGUGUAGUGGUGAAAUGCGUAGAUAUCGGGAGGAACACCAGUGGCGAAGGCGGCAUCCUGGUCCUGUUCUGACGCUGAGGCGCGAGAGCGUGGGGAGCAAACUGG